RNAcentral lists this ribosomal RNA (253 nucleotides) under uncultured bacterium. RNAcentral describes it as "partial 16S ribosomal RNA". It matches the Rfam family "Bacterial small subunit ribosomal RNA", at positions 524 to 776 of the family's 1533-position model. The record is from RNAcentral.
UACGAGGGGUGCAAGCGUUGCUCGGAAUUAUUGGGCGUAAAGGGUAGGUAGGUGGUCUCAUUUGUCUGGGGUGAAAGCCUUGAGCUUAACUCAAGAAGUGCCCUAGAAACGGUGAGACUGGAGUCUUGGAGAGGGUCGUGGAAUUCCCGGUGUAGCGGUGAAAUGCGUAGAUAUCAAGAGGAACACCAGUGGCGAAGGCGAGUCCCUGGACAACACCUGACACUGAGGCACGAAAGCUAGGGGAGCAAACAGG